Molecule: ribosomal RNA, 433 nt
Filed under: uncultured bacterium
Lineage: Bacteria
Description: partial 16S ribosomal RNA
Rfam family: Bacterial small subunit ribosomal RNA
Source: RNAcentral
AACGAACGCUGGCGGCAUGCCUAACACAUGCAAGUCGAACGAGACCUUCGGGUCUAGUGGCGCACGGGUGCGUAACGCGUGGGAACCUGCCCUUAGGUUCGGAAUAACUCCCCGAAAGGGGUGCUAAUACCGGAUAAUGUCUUCGGACCAAAGAUUUAUCGCCUUUGGAUGGGCCCGCGUUGGAUUAGCUAGUUGGUAGGGUAAAAGCCUACCAAGGCGACGAUCCAUAGCUGGUCUGAGAGGAUGAUCAGCCACACUGGGACUGAGACACGGCCCAGACUCUUACGGGAGGAAGCAGUGGGGAAUAUUGGACAAUGGGCGAAAGCCUGAUCCAGCAAUGCCGCGUGAGUGAUGAAGGCCUUAGGGUUGUAAAGCUCUUUUAACCGGGAUGAUAAUGACAGUACCGGGAGAAUAAGCGCCGGCUAACUCCGUG